UACAGCAGUGUCCCCGGCUUGUAGGCUGAUCUCGCCAGAUCUCAGAAGCUGAGCGAGGCUGGGCCUGGUCAGUACUGGGCUGGGAGACAGCUAAGGAAAACCAGGUUGCAGCUGCAG
RNAcentral lists this ribosomal RNA (117 nucleotides) under Lepisosteus oculatus (spotted gar). The record is from RNAcentral. Lineage: Eukaryota; Metazoa; Chordata; Actinopteri; Semionotiformes; Lepisosteidae.